GACGAACGCUGGCGGCGCGCCUAACACAUGCAAGUCGAACGAGAGAUGAGGAGCUUGCUCUUCAAAUCGAGUGGCGAACGGGUGAGUAACGCGUGAGGAACCUGCCUCAAAGAGGGGGACAACAGUUGGAAACGACUGCUAAUACCGCAUAAGCCCACGGCUCGGCAUCGAGCAGAGGGAAAAGGAGCAGUCCGCUUUGAGAUGGCCUCGCGUCCGAUUAGCUAGUUGGUGAGGUAACGGCCCACCAAGGCGACGAUCGGUAGCCGGACUGAGAGGUUGAACGGCCACAUUGGGACUGAGACACGGCCCAGACUCCUACGGGAGGCAGCAGUGGGGAAUAUUGCACAAUGGGGGAAACCCUGAUGCAGCGACGCCGCGUGGAGGAAGAAGGUCUUCGGAUUGUAAACUCCUGUUGUUGAGGAAGAUAAUGACGGUACUCAACAAGGAAGUGACGGCUAACUACGUGCCAGCAGCCGCGGUAAAACGUAGGUCACAAGCGUUGUCCGGAAUUACUGGGUGUAAAGGGAGCGCAGGCGGGAGAACAAGUUGGAAGUGAAAUCCAUGGGCUCAACCCAUGAACUGCUUUCAAAACUGUUUUUCUUGAGUAGUGCAGAGGUAGGCGGAAUUCCCGGUGUAGCGGUGGAAUGCGUAGAUAUCGGGAGGAACACCAGUGGCGAAGGCGGCCUACUGGGCACCAACUGACGCUGAGGCUCGAAAGUGUGGGUAGCAAACAGGAUUAGAUACCCUGGUAGUCCACACCGUAAACGAUGAUUACUUAGGUGUUGGAGGAUUGACCCCUUCAGUGCCGCAGUUAACACAAUAAGUAAUCCACCUGGGGAGUACGACCGCAAGGUUGAAACUCAAAGGAAUUGACGGGGGCCCGCACAAGCAGUGGAGUAUGUGGUUUAAUUCGUCGCAACGCGAAGAACCUUACCAAGUCUUGACAUCCCUUGACGAACAUAGAAAUAUGUUUUCUCUUCGGAGCAAGGAGACAGGUGGUGCAUGGUUGUCGUCAGCUCGUGUCGUGAGAUGUUGGGUUAAGUCCCGCAACGAGCGCAACCCUUAUGGUCAGUUACUACGCAAGAGGACUCUGGCCAGACUGCCGUUGACAAAACGGAGGAAGGUGGGGAGGACGUCAAAUCAUCAUGCCCCUUAUGACUUGGGCUACACACGUACUACAAUGGCGUUAAACAAAGAGAAGCAAGACCGCGAGGUGGAGCAAAACUCAGAAACAACGUCCCAGUUCGGACUGCAGGCUGCAACUCGCCUGCACGAAGUCGGAAUUGCUAGUAAUCGUGGAUCAGCAUGCCACGGUGAAUAAGUUCCCGGGCCUUGUACACACCUCCCGUCAAGGG
RNAcentral lists this ribosomal RNA (1355 nucleotides) under uncultured bacterium. RNAcentral's name for it is "bacterial SSU rRNA". It matches the Rfam family "Bacterial small subunit ribosomal RNA", at positions 28 to 1403 of the family's 1533-position model. The record is from RNAcentral.